This 394-nucleotide ribosomal RNA is filed under the name uncultured bacterium. RNAcentral's name for it is "partial 16S ribosomal RNA". It matches the Rfam family "Bacterial small subunit ribosomal RNA", at positions 523 to 918 of the family's 1533-position model. The record is from RNAcentral.
AUACGUAGGGGGCGAGCGUUAUCCGGAAUUAUUGGGCGUAAAGAGUACGUAGGUGGUUUUGUAAGCGCAAGGUGAAAGACCGCAGCUUAACUGCGGUGAGCCUUGUGAACUGCAAGACUUGAGUGCAGGAGGGGAAAGUGGAAUUCCUAGUGUAGCGGUGAAAUGCGUAGAUAUUAGGAGGAACACCGGUGGCGAAGGCGACGUUCUGGACUGUAACUGACACUGAGGUACGAAAGCGUGGGGAGCAAACAGGAUUAGAUACCCGGGUAGUCCACGCCGUAAACGAUGAGCACUAGGUGUUGGCGUAGAAAUACGUCGGUGCCGAAGUUAACGCAUUAAGUGCUCCGCCUGGGGAGUACGCACGCAAGUGUGAAACUCAAAUGAAUUGACGGGG